This 202-nucleotide long non-coding RNA is filed under the name Vigna radiata. RNAcentral's name for it is "long non-coding RNA (VRAD_LNC013858)". Lineage: Eukaryota; Viridiplantae; Streptophyta; Magnoliopsida; Fabales; Fabaceae. The record is from RNAcentral.
AAAGGAUAAAAAUAAACUUAAUAAAAACCAUGAUAAUGACAAUUAUUAGUACAUUCCCUCUCAAGCGGAAACAUUUUCCAUCACGAUUCGUAUUGUCGUCCAUCUUAAUGUGACACAUUUUUCUAAAUCAUUUGUCAAGAAGACUUUCAAUAAAGGAUCAUAUUGUGCUCAUACGAGUCAAUCAUCAAGACUAACCAUCAUC